GACGAACGCUGGCGGCGUGCUUAACACAUGCAAGUCGAACGGAAAGGCCCUGCUUGCAGGGUGCUCGAGUGGCGAACGGGUGAGUAACACGUGGGUGAUCUGCCCCUUACUUUGGGAUAAGCCUGGGAAACUGGGUCUAAUACUGGAUAGGACCAUGCUGUAGGGGGUGUGGUGGAAAGAUUAGUUUCGGUAUGGGGUGAGCGCGCGGCCUCUCAGCUUGUUGGUGGGGUAAUGGCCUAUAAAGGGGUCGACGGGUAGCGGGCCUGAGAGGGUGGACGGGGACAUUGGGACUGAGAGACGGCGCAGACUCCCACGGGAGGCAGAAGUGGGGAGUAUAGCACAAUAGGGGCAAGCGCGAUGCAGCGAGGCGGCGUGGGGGAGGACGGGGCCCGGGGUGUAUACUCCCCUCAGGCAUGACGAAGAGCUUGUGGUGACGGUAGUGGUAUAAGAAGCACCGGCUAACUACGUG
This 469-nucleotide ribosomal RNA is filed under the name uncultured bacterium. RNAcentral describes it as "partial 16S ribosomal RNA". It matches the Rfam family "Bacterial small subunit ribosomal RNA", at positions 28 to 507 of the family's 1533-position model. The record is from RNAcentral.